Molecule: ribosomal RNA, 484 nt
Filed under: uncultured bacterium
Lineage: Bacteria
Description: partial 16S ribosomal RNA
Rfam family: Bacterial small subunit ribosomal RNA
Source: RNAcentral
AUUGAACGCUGGCGGCAGGCCUAACACAUGCAAGUCGAGCGGAUGAAGGGAGCUUGCUCCUGGAUUCAGCGGCGGACGGGUGAGUAAUGCCUAGGAAUCUGCCUGGUAGUGGGGGAUAACGUCCGGAAACGGGCGCUAAUACCGCAUACGUCCUGAGGGAGAAAGUGGGGGAUCUUCGGACCUCACGCUAUCAGAUGAGCCUAGGUCGGAUUAGCUAGUUGGUGGGGUAAAGGCCUACCAAGGCGACGAUCCGUAACUGGUCUGAGAGGAUGAUCAGUCACACUGGAACUGAGACACGGUCCAGACGCCUACGGGAGGCAGCAGUGGGGAAUAUUGGACAAUGGGCGAAAGCCUGAUCCAGCCAUGCCGCGUGUGUGAAGAAGGUCUUCGGAUUGUAAGGCACUUUAAGUUGGGAGGAAGGGCAGUAAGUUAAUACCUUGCUGUUUUGACGUUACCAACAGAAUAAGCACCGGCUAACUUCGUG